RNAcentral lists this ribosomal RNA (524 nucleotides) under uncultured bacterium. RNAcentral describes it as "partial 16S ribosomal RNA". It matches the Rfam family "Bacterial small subunit ribosomal RNA", at positions 28 to 523 of the family's 1533-position model. The record is from RNAcentral.
GACGAACGCUGGCGGCGUGCCUAAUACAUGCAAGUCGAACGAAGCUGUUUUAACUGGUGCUUGCACCGACUUAAACAACUGAGUGGCGAACGGGUGAGUAACACGUGGGUAACCUGCCCCAAAGCGGGGGAUAACAUUUGGAAACAGAUGCUAAUACCGCAUAACCACAGAAACCACAAGGUUUCUGUGUCAAAGAUGGUUUCGGCUAUCACUUUGGGAUGGACCCGCGGCGUAUUAGCUAGUUGGUAAGGUAAUGGCUUACCAAGGCAAUGAUACAUAGCCGAACUGAGAGGUUGAUCGGCCACAUUGGGACUGAGACACGGCCCAAACUCCUACGGGAGGCAGCAGUAGGGAAUCUUCCACAACGGACGAAAGUCUGAUGGAGCAACGCCGCGUGAGUGAAGAAGGUUUUCGGAUCGUAAAACUCUGUUGUCAGAGAAGAACGUGUGCGAGAGUAACUGCUCGUGCAGUGACGGUAUCUGGCCAGAAAGCCACGGCUAACUACGUGCCAGCAGCCGCAGUAA